RNAcentral lists this long non-coding RNA (797 nucleotides) under Zostera marina. RNAcentral describes it as "long non-coding RNA (ZMAR_LNC001406)". The record is from RNAcentral. Lineage: Eukaryota; Viridiplantae; Streptophyta; Magnoliopsida; Alismatales; Zosteraceae.
GUGGUAAUUGAAAUAGUCAAUCAGUGAUUAUAUAAAAUGAGAUAGUUAUAAUUAUAAAUAAGAUACAGUGAGAUAUAUAACAUUUGAACUAUUAAUUCUCUGUUUCUGAGAUCUGGGAACAGAGAUGAGAUGAAUAAAUGUGUAAAGUUUCUAAAGAACACCCAUCCAAGUUUUGAUAAUAAUGUUUUUGUCGACAUAAUAAAUUAGCGGCGGCUUAGGGAAGGAUUAAGGACGGGAAGUUAAAACAAAAUCUUAUUUAAAAAUAAUUAAUUAGCGAAAGACUAGAGACGGAAAGUUGAAACAGAAACUUAUUAAAAAAUGAUUAGAGACGGACGGAUUAAAGACAGAAAUUUUAGAAAGAAAUUUAUUAAAAAAUAAUUGGUGACGGAAAUAAAAAUUUAGGUGACAAAUUAUGAUACGACGAUCAAGACCGUCCCUCCCUGUAGCUAAUAUUUAGGGACAGAAAUCAUGGCCGUCCCUAAAAAUUCAGCGAGACGACUUUAUUCCCUAAUGGAUUAAAGAGUCGCUAAUGACAAUUAGCGACGGUUUUUUAUCAUUAGCGACGACUUUUGGAAAGACAUAAACGGAUAUGAUACAUACCUUAUUUAAAAUACAUAUAUAGUGAUCAUACAUACAUACAUACAUACAUACAUACAUACAUACAUACAUACAUACAUACAUACAUACAUACAUACAUACAUACAUACAUACAUACAUACAUACAUACAUACGUUUGGGUAAGCAAAUUCUCACAAAAAAGCCUUGUCACGUCGAGACCACGGAUUACUCUUAGAAGG